UGAAUACGAAUGCGACACACUCCAACGUGUGUCAGCUUCGCCAGCUAAGAGAACAGCCAGUUCACGGGAAGAGGAUGACUGAGUGAUUUUGUGAUAAAUUGGAUAGAAAUGCACAGCAGCUGGAUCCAGAUUGACAGCUCCAAGUCAAUGAACACCCAGCGCAAGGCAGUUCUUCAACCGUGCAGAACUUGGACCCACUGAGGGAAAUAAGGAGAGACGCUGCUGUCAAGCUGCUGUUUGAAGAAUGAACACACAAACAUUAAGAGUAAGACUGAGUGGAGGGAAGGGGGGGUUGGUGGUGGUGCUAUUUGGAGAAUCAGUGCAGAUGCAUUGACUGACAAUCCCCCGCUAAAUGGUUUUGCAGCACAAUUAUUGCUUUACAAGCUGUAUUUUCUCCUGUGAGCAGCGUUAUGCUGUUCACUGGAUCGAUUAAUUUCAUAUCUAAUGAUAUCUGUGCGCGCUGAAUGCUCAAAAAGUUGCAGGAUUUCAGAGUUCCCAGAGGAACUGCUGUAAAUCACAGAGACUUUGAGGAGGAGGCCAGAUUACAGAACAUCAUGGGACGACACAGUUCGUUAAAACAAAUAAUUACAGGAAUCAUUAAUAAACUUUUCUCUGCAACUAGGAAAAUAAAAAAUCUAAAACAUUGGAA
Poecilia latipinna (sailfin molly) is the source of this 649-nucleotide long non-coding RNA. RefSeq lists it as uncharacterized. NCBI's taxonomy places the organism in Eukaryota, Metazoa, Chordata, Actinopteri, Cyprinodontiformes, Poeciliidae. The record is from RefSeq and is a predicted model, not a curated record. The transcript is spliced from 2 exons.